This 492-nucleotide ribosomal RNA is filed under the name uncultured bacterium. RNAcentral's name for it is "partial 16S ribosomal RNA". It matches the Rfam family "Bacterial small subunit ribosomal RNA", at positions 29 to 507 of the family's 1533-position model. The record is from RNAcentral.
AGUGAACGCUGGCGGUAGGCCUAACACAUGCCAGUCGAACGGCAGCACAGUAAGAGCUUGCUCUUACGGGUGGCGAGUGGCGGACGGGUGAGGAAUACAUCGGAAUCUACUUUUUCGUGGGGGAUAACGUAGGGAAACUUACGCUAAUACCGCAUACGACCUACGGGUGAAAGCAGGGGAUCUUCGGACCUUGCGCGAUUGAAUGAGCCGAUGUCGGAUUAGCUAGUUGGCGGGGUAAAGGCCCACCAAGGCGACGAUCCGUAGCUGGUCUGAGAGGAUGAUCAGCCACACUGGAACUGAGACACGGUCCAGACUCCUACGGGAGGCAGCAGUGGGGAAUAUUGGACAAUGGGCGCAAGCCUGACCCAGCCAUACCGCGUGAGUGAAGAAGGCCUUCGGGUUGUAAAGCCCUUUUGUUGGGAAAGAAAAGCAGCAGGUUAAUCCCCCGCUGUUCUGACGGUACCCAAAGAAUAAGCACCGGCUAACUUCGUG